GUGGGGAAUUUUGGACAAUGGGCGCAAGCCUGAUCCAGCAAUGCCGCGUGCAGGAAGAAGGCCUUCGGGUUGUAAACUGCUUUUGUACGGAACGAAAAGGUCUGGGUUAAUACCCUGGGCUCAUGACGGUACCGUAAGAAUAAGCACCGGCUAACUACGUGCCAGCAGCCGCGGUAAUACGUAGGGUGCGAGCGUUAAUCGGAAUUACUGGGCGUAAAGCGUGCGCAGGCGGUUUUGUAAGACAGGCGUGAAAUCCCCGGGCUCAACCUGGGAAUGGCGCUUGUGACUGCAAAGCUGGAGUGCGGCAGAGGGGGAUGGAAUUCCGCGUGUAGCAGUGAAAUGCGUAGAUAUGCGGAGGAACACCGAUGGCGAAGGCAAUCCCCUGGGCCUGCACUGACGCUCAUGCACGAAAGCGUGGGGAGCAAACAGGAUUAGAUACCCCUGUAGUCC
RNAcentral lists this ribosomal RNA (450 nucleotides) under uncultured bacterium. RNAcentral describes it as "partial 16S ribosomal RNA". It matches the Rfam family "Bacterial small subunit ribosomal RNA", at positions 354 to 796 of the family's 1533-position model. The record is from RNAcentral.